This 335-nucleotide long non-coding RNA is filed under the name Lathyrus oleraceus (garden pea). Its description in RNAcentral is "Pisum sativum (pea) long non-coding RNA (PSAT_LNC000919)". The record is from RNAcentral. Lineage: Eukaryota; Viridiplantae; Streptophyta; Magnoliopsida; Fabales; Fabaceae.
GACACUGAUGGAAAGUUUGAAAGAGCUGGAAAAGAAAGCCUCGAGAGGAAGAAAAACAGCGAAAAUCGCAAAUUGCGGCGUUCGAAAGAGAAAAAAGAAGAAGCUGUUGACAAUGAAAACAUCAGCGAUGAGAGGAACGAAAAGGAAAAUGAUGAGAGCAAGAAAAACAGCGAGAAUCGCAAAUUGCGGCGUUCGAAAGAGAAAAAAGUAGAAGCUGUUGACAAUGAAAACAUCAGCGAUGAGGGGAACGAAAAGGAAAAUGAUGAGGGGAAGUCGGAAGAACAAAACAAGAAGGGCUUUUUGUCGAGAGAAAGAAAGAAAAGCAAGUACUUGUC